Molecule: ribosomal RNA, 121 nt
Filed under: Borodinellopsis texensis
Lineage: Eukaryota; Viridiplantae; Chlorophyta; Chlorophyceae; Chlamydomonadales; Chlorococcaceae
Source: RNAcentral
CCUUGGUGCUCAACGCCUAGUUGGAACCACGCCAAUCCAUCCCGAACUUGGCGGUGAAAAAGCUAGGGGAGUCGAAGAACUUGACGGGAGACUGUCUGGAAGAUCGACUCUAGUGCCAAGG